Molecule: long non-coding RNA, 4109 nt
Filed under: Homo sapiens (human)
Lineage: Eukaryota; Metazoa; Chordata; Mammalia; Primates; Hominidae
Description: non-protein coding lnc-PRIMPOL-6:5
Source: RNAcentral
CAAACACUGCGUACACAUUAUUCUAUUUAAUCUUCAUAACCCAGUGAGGAUAUCAACCAGGAUAUGGCAUUGCAUUGGAUCCCAACCAGGAUAUGACGUUACAUUGGAUCCCAACCAGGAUAUGGCAUUGCACUGGAUCCCAACCAGGAUAUGGCAUUGCACUGGAUCCCAACCAGGAUAUGGCAUUGCGUUGGAUCCCAACCAGGUUAUGGCAUUACAUUGGAUCCCAACCAGGUUAUGGCAUUGCAUUGGAUCCCAACCAGGAUAUGACAUUGCAUUUACUCAUCACGCCUCCUUAGGUUCCUCUUGGCUGUGACGGUUUCUCAGACUAUCCUUGUUUUUUAGGACCUUGACAGUUUUGAGGCAUACUGGAGAGCUCAACGUGGGCGUUUCUUUCUGUAACAAGUAUGCAUCAUGGCUGGCUGACUCCUCCCCAUAACAAGCAGUUUAAAGGUGAACGGAAAUGGAUCUUGGCGAUAGCAGCUUUUGGAAGCCUAGGCGCGGCACAGAAGGUCAGACAGGAAUGGCUUGUCUUCCACUACAACAUGGGGCUUCAUCGGAAGCACCGCUGCUGAGGAACAACCACCUCCUCCUGACCAUCGCAAGCUGCCCAGGAAGACAUGCUCAUAGCAGUGUCCGUUUCCCUGCCUAACUUUCCACCAGAAGAUUCCUUCAUGUCUACGGGCGGACCCAGGCCGAUCUUGGAAUGCAUGUUUAAGUUUGUCUGACCUUUCUAUCUUUUGCCUUCCUCUUCACUAGAGAACCUGAGCACUAGGUUCUCCUGUAUUAUUUAUUUUAUCUUAUUCUUUUCUUUUUUUUUUUUUUUUUUUGAGGCAGGGCCUUGCUCUGUCACUGAGGCUGAAAUGCAAUGGUGUGGUCAUAGCUCACUCCUCGGCUCAAGUGAUCCUCCAGCCUCAGCCUCUAGAGUAGCUGGUAUUACAAAUGUGCAGCACCACAGCCAGCUAAUUUCUUUUCUUUCUUUCUUUCUUUCUUUUUUUUUUUUGUAGAGAUGGGAGUCUUGCUGUAUUGCCUACGUUGGUCUCCAACUCCUGGGCUCAAGUGAUCCUCUUGCCUCAGCCUCCCAAAGUGGUGGGAUCACAGGUGUGAGCCACCACAUCUGGGUAGAUUCUUCUUUAGGUUCCUGAGCCUGGAGAGAUGGCCUGCAGGGGCAUCUGCUGCAAAGGAAUGAGAUAAGCUGUGAUAAUCUGGGUCCUCCAAGAAGCAGAAGCCAUAGAUUUUAUCAGGGAGCUGGAAAAAAGUGGGAUGACCAUUAGACUGCAGUGCAAGUCUGACUCCAAAUGAAGGAGAGGAAAGGUUGUAUGGAGGCCUCCUUGGCUCUAGGGAAAGUUCAGCAAGGCAGAAGAGAAGUGCUGAGACAACAUUCUAGGCAGAGGAGCCCCAUGUCUCUCAGGAAGGGGGCUGCCUAGUGCCCCUGCCAUGCCCCAUCACGGGUGGGGAGCAGCCCAUGGAAAGGGGGGGUCUCAGCACAGGCCAGGAUGGAUUCAGAGCAUGGAGUGGCAGCUGGUGCCCUGGGCCAGAUGCGCUCCCAGCUGGAGGCACUUUCUCACAACUGCUGUGUAGGCCUGGGUCCACGUUGUUUCAUGAGGAAAAGCCAUGCGGGUGCUGCCUGGCACAUAUGUAGAGCAAGUGCCAUAUGACACGGUGGAAGGUGCCCUGGAAUUGGCAUCAAUGUCCCAGGUCAAGUCCCUGAUCCGUCACUUAUUAUUAGUUCAUGAUCUUAGGUGAGUCACUAAACCUCUCAGAGCCUUGGUUUCUUGAUCUUAAAACAAUACCUGUCUUACAGUAUGGUUGUAGAGUGAAACUAGCUCUUGUGAGAAAGAGUGCUUUGUAUAAUGUUGACACAAAUGCACACGUGGUAACAAAAGCAACAAAGCACAACUAUUAAAGACCAAUGACAGGAGCUCUGGAAUUUUGCUAUAAGCAGUCUGUGGCAAUGAUAGAGAUUUGUCUGUCUCUGUGGUUAUACUUGCACGAAACUGCACACCAUGCCAGUAUACAAAUUCCACAGUGUCUCAGUCAUUUAGCAGAUGUCAGUUGACUUGACUGUUCUGGGCAGGUAUUUAUACAAAUAAAAAAAUAAAAAGCAUUUCAGAAAACCCUAUUUUUUUUUUAAACAAAAGAUGGCUUUUCCACAGCUGCUAAAUAAUUCAAAGUCAGCAGUAAUUCAUAGUGAGUCAGCGGUAGCUUCUUACUGCUUCCCACUGCUUUUUUUCCUUUUCUGCUUGUAAGAUGAAGACACUGGCGAUGAAAGGGCUGAGAUGUUUUAGUUCCCGGAAGUCCCUUGGUCUUUUUUUUUUUUUUUCUUUUGAGAUGGGGUCUCUCUCUGUCUCCCAGACUGGAGUGCAGUGGUGCAAUCUCGGCUCACCACAACCUCCACCCCCGGUGUUCAAGCAAUUCUCCUGCCUCAGCCUCCCAAGUAGCUGGGAUUACGGGCACGUGUCACCACGCCCGGCUAAUUUUGUAUUUUUAGUAGAGACGGGGUUUCUCCAUGUUGGUCAGGCUGGUCUCGAACUCCUGACCUCAAGUGAUCCACCCGCCUCGGCCUCCCAAAGUGCUGGGAUUACAGGCGUGAGCCACCGUGCCUGGCCGCUUGGGUUUUGUGCUAGCGAAAUAUUGAGAUCUGUAGGCUGUGGAGCAACCUGUUAGCGAUGAUGGGUGAGUUCACAGGCAGAGGCAGUAGCUCCAAGGCCUCAACCAGAGACCCAGAUCCCAGGGCAGUGUCACUCAUUUUGUCAACGAUUCUAGGGGAUGGGGAGACAGGAGCUGGAAAAAUAAACCAGAAAGACUUCAUGGGUUUAUUUCUAAAUAGAUGAAGGUUACAGAGCAAGGUAAAUUUUAUGCAGGAAAAACGGGUGGCAGUAGAUGAUCUAGUGUUAGAAUCUCAGCAUGGCCCUGGGGCUGGGAGCAAAUGAAAUUAGACGUGGGAUUAGUGGGAACCAGGUAGCCAAGGGUGGAGGCCUAACCAGAAUUGAGUGAUUCACACCAUUAACAAUGACCAGCUGUGAAGAAGCAGAUCACCCCACCUGAGGACAGCCCCGAAGGAAGAGGUGCUUUUACCACCACCCAAGGAUGAAAGCAGUGAUUUCUCCUUCAAAUCCAGCCCCAAAGCUGUGGCUCUCCUCACCAGUUUUCCUUUCCUUCUGGCCAUGCAACCUCUUCUGCUCCAUGGCCAGUUCAGAGGACACAUGACUCCAGCAGGAGGGGACAAACCAGUCACCAUUCAGGAGCCUGAAUAACCAGGGCUUCUGACACCGUGGGCCUCAGACUACCCACAUCAGCACCACGUGGGCAGCUUGUUAAGGAGGCGACUGCAUGAGCCCACCCAGAUCUGCCUGUUCAGAAUGUCUGGAAGGGGACUCCAGAACCUGUGUGCCCCUCCCGCAUCUUCCUCAAGGCAUUGUUUUGCACACAAACAUGUAAGAAUCACCGGGCGUGGUGGCUCGCACCUGUAAUCCCAGCACUUUGGGAGUCCGAGGAGAGAGGAUCACGAGGUCAGGAGUUUGAGACCAGCCUGGCCAACAUGAUGAAACCCUGUCUCUACUAAAAAUAUAAAAAUCAGCUGGGCAUGGUGGCCCAUGCCCAUAAUCCUAGCUACUCGGGAGGCUGAGGCAGAAAAAUGGCUUGAACCUGGGAGGCAGAGGUUGCAGUGAGCUGAGAUCCCGCUACUGCAUUCCAGCCUGGGCAACAAGAGCAAAACUCCGUCUCAAAAAAAAAAAAAAAAUUGUGAGACCCAAUUAAAUGAUCUCUAAGCUGCCAGAUCAAAAACACUGUGACUUCAGAAUCCCAGUUUAAGAAAAAUGAUCUUAUUUCUCAGUAAUUUAUAAUUUUAAAGGUUUAAUCUUCUUUCUCCCCUAAGUAUUAUCUCUCCGUCUUUAAGUCCCAACAAAUUAUUUAUAAAAUAAUGUAUGGGCUGGGCGCGGUAGCUCACACCUGUAAUCCCAGCACUUUGGGAGGCCGAGAUGGGUGGAUCACCUGAGGUCAGGAGUUCGAGACCAGCCUGGCCAACAUGAAGAAACUCCGUCUCUACUAAAAAUACAAAAAUUAGCUGGGUGUGGUGGCAUGUGCCUGUAGUCCCAGCUACUCGGGAG